UAGUGAUAGCUGGUUGUUCAGGAAAAGAGUUUUAGCUCUGCCUUAAGUUUUUUUAUUUUACCAAACAAGCCCUUAAACUUAAGAGUUAUUCAAAUUAGGCACAGCUUAUUUGAAACAGGAUACAACCUCCACCACCGGGUAAACAAGGGUAAUCAAAACCAAGUGGGCCUAAAAGCAGCCACCUUCCAAAAAGCGUCAAAGCUUAUCUACUCACCCGCAAUUUCUUAAAUACUCCCCAACCCUUCAUUCCUACUGACCCCUUUUAUACUAUUAUAAAAAUAAUUAUGCUAGAACUAGUAACUAGAAGUCGCCCUUCUCCAUAAUGUAAGUAUAAACCAAAACGGACCCUCCAUUGGUAAUUAACGUAAAUGCAAGCCCCAUAAUAACACAUAACUAGAAAACCUUAUGGCCCUCCACGUUACCCUAACACUAGAACAUUACAGGAAAGAUUAAAAGAGAAAGAAGGAACUCGGCAAAUUUUAACCCCGCCUGUUUACCAAAAACAUCGCCUCUUGAUUAAACAUAAGAGGUCCAGCCUGCCCAGUGACAAAAUUCAACGGCCGCGGUACACUAACCGUGCGAAGGUAGCAUAAUCAUUUGUUCUUUAAAUAAGGACUAGUAUCAACGGCACUACGAGGGUUAUACUGUCUCCUAUCUCUAAUCAGUGAAACUGAUCCCCCCGUGAAGAAGCGGGGAUUUAGCUAUAAGACGAGAAGACCCCAUGGAGCUUUAAACCCAACAUGCACCCCCUCACCUAAACCAGCUUAACCUAGAGGACCUGCGUGUUGGUUUUAGGCUGGGGGGGCCACGGAGUAAAAUUAAACCUCCACAACAAAUGGGCUAACACCCUUAUCCAUGAUUUUACAAAUCUAAGAAUUACCAAAAUAAUGUUUAAUGACCCGAUAAUUCGAUCAAUGAACCAAGUUACCCUGGGGAUAACAGCGCAAUCUACUUCAAGAGCCCUUAUCGACAAGUAGGUUUACGACCUCGAUGUUGGAUCAGGGUAUCCUAGUGGUGCAACCGCUACUAAUGGUUCGUUUGUUCAACGAUUAAAACCCU
RNAcentral lists this ribosomal RNA (1059 nucleotides) under Odorrana kuangwuensis (Kwangwu odorous frog). RNAcentral's name for it is "partial 16S ribosomal RNA". It matches the Rfam family "Bacterial large subunit ribosomal RNA", at positions 840 to 2597 of the family's 2925-position model. The record is from RNAcentral. Lineage: Eukaryota; Metazoa; Chordata; Amphibia; Anura; Ranidae.